GCGACCCGAGAAGGGGAAAGUGGACGGAGGGAAGAAGCGGCAGGGCGCGCAAGACACAUUUGGUUUCAAGCCACUGUGAUGAACAUCAGGUGACUUUUUUUUGCAACAUCAGACUUGCUUCUUGCAUUCAUAGAGGGACAAGUUUUGUUAUAUGUGUUGAAGAGAUAGAGCAUGCAUCUGGAUGGGGAGAAAAUGCAAUCUGCAGAGAUCACUUUUUAAGUUGUAGCAAAAUUACAAAGCUUUGCAGAUGGGAGCUUACUUUUUCCCUUGUCAAAAGGAAAAAAGACACAAGCACAAUAUGAAGCUUCAGGCGGGGCUCCACCACAAGAA
Long non-coding RNA from Malurus melanocephalus (red-backed fairy wren), 330 nucleotides. RefSeq lists it as uncharacterized. NCBI's taxonomy places the organism in Eukaryota, Metazoa, Chordata, Aves, Passeriformes, Maluridae. The record is from RefSeq and is a predicted model, not a curated record. The transcript has 3 exons.